UACGUAGGGGGCAAGCGUUAUCCGGAUUUACUGGGUGUAAAGGGAGCGCAGGCGGUACGGCAAGUCUGAUGUGAAAGCCCGGGGCUCAACCCCGGUACUGCAUUGGAAACUGUCGGACUAGAGUGUCGGAGGGGUAAGUGGAAUUCCUAGUGUAGCGGUGAAAUGCGUAGAUAUAAGGAAGAACACCAGUGGCGAAGGCGGCUUGCUGGACGACAACUGACGCUGAGGCGCGAAAGCGUGGGGAGCAAACAGG
RNAcentral lists this ribosomal RNA (253 nucleotides) under uncultured bacterium. RNAcentral's name for it is "partial 16S ribosomal RNA". It matches the Rfam family "Bacterial small subunit ribosomal RNA", at positions 524 to 776 of the family's 1533-position model. The record is from RNAcentral.